UGGGGAAUAUUGCACAAUGGGCGCAAGCCUGAUGCAGCCAUGCCGCGUGUGUGAAGAAGGCCUUCGGGUUGUAAAGCACUUUCAGCGGGGAGGAAGGCGAUAAGGUUAAUAACCUUGUCGAUUGACGUUACCCGCAGAAGAAGCACCGGCUAACUCCGUGCCAGCAGCCGCGGUAAUACGGAGGGUGCAAGCGUUAAUCGGAAUUACUGGGCGUAAAGCGCACGCAGGCGGUCUGUCAAGUCGGAUGUGAAAUCCCCGGGCUCAACCUGGGAACUGCAUUCGAAACUGGCAGGCUAGAGUCGUGUAGAGGGGGGUAGAAUUCCAGGUGUAGCGGUGAAAUGCGUAGAGAGCUGGAGGAAUACCCGUGGCGAAGGCGGCCCCCUGGACAAAGACUGACGCUCAGGUGCGAAAGCGUGGGGAGCAAACGGG
This 429-nucleotide ribosomal RNA is filed under the name Chloroflexota bacterium. Its description in RNAcentral is "Chloroflexi bacterium partial 16S ribosomal RNA". It matches the Rfam family "Bacterial small subunit ribosomal RNA", at positions 355 to 776 of the family's 1533-position model. Lineage: Bacteria; Bacillati; Chloroflexota. The record is from RNAcentral.